RNAcentral lists this ribosomal RNA (253 nucleotides) under uncultured bacterium. Its description in RNAcentral is "partial 16S ribosomal RNA". It matches the Rfam family "Bacterial small subunit ribosomal RNA", at positions 524 to 776 of the family's 1533-position model. The record is from RNAcentral.
UACGUAGGGGGCUAGCGUUGUCCGGAAUCAUUGGGCGUAAAGAGCUCGUAGGCGGUCUGUCACGUCUGCUGUGAAAACUCGGGGCUUAACCCCGGGCCUGCAGUGGGUACGGGCAGACUAGAGUGCGGUAGGGGAGACUGGAAUUCCUGGUGUAGCGGUGAAAUGCGCAGAUAUCAGGAGGAACACCGGUGGCGAAGGCGGGUCUCUGGGCCGUAACUGACGCUGAGGAGCGAAAGCGUGGGGAGCGAACAGG